GAUGAACGCUGGCGGCGUGCCUAAUACAUGCAAGUCGAGCGAACAGACGAGGAGCUUGCUCCUCUGACGUUAGCGGCGGACGGGUGAGUAACACGCGGAUAACCUACCUAUAAGACUGGGAUAACUUCGGGAAACCGGAGCUAAUACCGGAUAAUAUAUUGAACCGCAUGGUUCAAUAGUGAAAGACGGUUUUGCUGUCACUUAUAGAUGGAUCCGCGCCGCAUUAGCUAGUUGGUAAGGUAACGGCUUACCAAGGCAACGAUGCGUAGCCGACCUGAGAGGGUGAUCGGCCACACUGGAACUGAGACACGGUCCAGACUCCUGCGGGAGGCAGCAGUAGGGAAUCUUCCGCAAUGGGCGAAAGCCUGACGGAGCAACGCCGCGUGAGUGAUGAAGGUCUUCGGAUCGUAAAACUCUGUUAUUAGGGAAGAACAAAUGUGUAAGUAACUAUGCACGUCUUGACGGUACCUAAUCAGAAAGCCACGGCUAACUACGUG
Molecule: ribosomal RNA, 497 nt
Filed under: uncultured bacterium
Lineage: Bacteria
Description: partial 16S ribosomal RNA
Rfam family: Bacterial small subunit ribosomal RNA
Source: RNAcentral